Molecule: ribosomal RNA, 200 nt
Filed under: uncultured bacterium
Lineage: Bacteria
Description: partial 16S ribosomal RNA
Rfam family: Bacterial small subunit ribosomal RNA
Source: RNAcentral
AGAGUUUGAUCCUGGCUCAGAACGAACGCUGGCGGCGUGCCUAACACAUGCAAGUCGAGGGAGAAAACCCGCAAGGGCGAGUAAACCGGCGAACGGGUGCGUAACACGUGGAUAAUCUACCUUCCUGACUGGGAUAACUGGCCGAAAGGCUUGCUAAUACCAGAUAAGCCCACGGCGUCUUUGGACGCUGAGGGAAAAGG